UACGUAGGAUGCAAGCGUUGUCCGGAAUUAUUGGGCGUAAAGAGCGAGCAGGCGGCAAACCAAGUCAGUUGUGAAAUUUUAGGGCUUAACCCUAAAGGGUCAACUGAAACUGGUUAGCUAGAGUGCAGGAGAGGAAAGCGGAAUUCCCGGUGUAGUGGUGAAAUGCGUAGAUAUCGGGAGGAACACCAGAGGCGAAGGCGGCUUUCUGGCCUGUAACUGACGCUGAGGCGCGAAGGCUGGGGUAGCGAACAGG
This 253-nucleotide ribosomal RNA is filed under the name uncultured bacterium. Its description in RNAcentral is "partial 16S ribosomal RNA". It matches the Rfam family "Bacterial small subunit ribosomal RNA", at positions 524 to 776 of the family's 1533-position model. The record is from RNAcentral. RNAcentral also lists the same sequence under 1 other name.